This 834-nucleotide ribosomal RNA is filed under the name uncultured bacterium. Its description in RNAcentral is "bacterial SSU rRNA". It matches the Rfam family "Bacterial small subunit ribosomal RNA", at positions 8 to 835 of the family's 1533-position model. The record is from RNAcentral.
AGAGUUUGAUCAUGGCUCAGAUUGAACGCUGGCGGCAGGCUUAACACAUGCAAGUCGAGCGGAGAUGAGGUGCUUGCACCUUAUCUUAGCGGCGGACGGGUGAGUAAUGCUUAGGAAUCUGCCUAUUAGUGGGGGACAACAUUCCGAAAGGAAUGCUAAUACCGCAUACGUCCUACGGGAGAAAGCAGGGGAUCUUCGGACCUUGCGCUAAUAGAUGAGCCUAAGUCGGAUUAGCUAGUUGGUGGGGUAAAGGCCUACCAAGACGACGAUCUGUAGCGGGUCUGAGAGGAUGAUCCGCCACACUGGGACUGAGACACGGCCCAGACUCCUACGGGAGGCAGCAGUGGGGAAUAUUGGACAAUGGGGGGAACCCUGAUCCAGCCAUGGCCGCGUGUGUGAAGAAGGCCUUAUGGUUGUAAAGCACUUUAAGCGAGGAGGAGGCUACUGAGACUAAUACUCUUGGAUAGUGGACGUUACUCGCAGAAUAAGCACCGGCUAACUCUGUGCCAGCAGCCGCGGUAAUACAGAGGGUGCGAGCGUUAAUCGGAUUUACUGGGCGUAAAGCGUGCGUAGGCGGCUUUUUAAGUCGGAUGUGAAAUCCCCGAGCUUAACUUGGGAAUUGCAUUCGAUACUGGGAAGCUAGAGUAUGGGAGAGGAUGGUAGAAUUCCAGGUGUAGCGGUGAAAUGCGUAGAGAUCUGGAGGAAUACCGAUGGCGAAGGCAGCCAUCUGGCCUAAUACUGACGCUGAGGUACGAAAGCAUGGGGAGCAAACAGGAUUAGAUACCCUGGUAGUCCAUGCCGUAAACGAUGUCUACUAGCCGUUGGGGCCUUUGA